UUAUUCUUUCUUUCUUCCAAAUCCAUUUCUAAAGUUCCAAGUACUUUCUCCAUCACCCACAUCCACCAUUAGCCACCACAAACCAUCAUUUUUCUCCAUUGAAAACCCACACCGAGAGGAACCCUUCAACCGAAGCAGAAUUUCCAACUUGGCUUGCGAUUUCGGUAGAGAACGAAAACCCUAAUCUGAUCUUUCGUUUUCUUUCGAGAGGCUUGUGUGGAAUCGACAAGCAAGGAAAAAAAGGAAUCUUCAAGUGACG
Molecule: long non-coding RNA, 259 nt
Filed under: Glycine max (soybean)
Lineage: Eukaryota; Viridiplantae; Streptophyta; Magnoliopsida; Fabales; Fabaceae
Description: long non-coding RNA (GMAX_LNC000397)
Source: RNAcentral